UGUGAAGGCUUAAAAAUUAAGUCUUUAGGUGGUAUGGUUAUCUGGGCCUCACUUUGACGUUCUCUAAUAGCUUUAUGAACUAUUUGUUUGUGCUUGAAUUGUUUUGAGUUGGUGUUAACCUUCUUGGUUGUUGUAAUGAGAUAUUACUCUCUGUUACAUUCUUAUGAUGUUGUUAAUGUGUGGAAAGUCAAAAUUCAUACAAAAGAUGGAUACUUUUCCUUCGAUUCCUAACUCCUUUGUUCAUUUUUAGAUGGAAGAAGUAGGAAUGUAAAGAAUAGCAACUACAUUAAG
Molecule: unclassified non-coding RNA, 291 nt
Filed under: Hevea brasiliensis (rubber tree)
Lineage: Eukaryota; Viridiplantae; Streptophyta; Magnoliopsida; Malpighiales; Euphorbiaceae
Source: RNAcentral